GCCGCCCGCUUUCUUCGUGCUUAACACAUGCAAGUCGAACGGAAAGGCCCUGCUUUUGUGGGGUGCUCGAGUGGCGAACGGGUGAGUAACACGUGAGUAACCUGCCCUUGACUUUGGGAUAACUUCAGGAAACUGGGGCUAAUACCGGAUAGGAGCUCCUGCUGCAUGGUGGGGGUUGGAAAGUUUCGGCGGUUGGGGAUGGACUCGCGGCUUAUCAGCUUGUUGGUGGGGUAGUGGCUUACCAAGGCUUUGACGGGUAGCCGGCCUGAGAGGGUGACCGGCCACAUUGGGACUGAGAUACGGCCCAGACUCCUACGGGAGGCAGCAGUGGGGAAUAUUGCACAAUGGGCGGAAGCCUGAUGCAGCAACGCCGCGUGCGGGAUGACGGCCUUCGGGUUGUAAACCGCUUUCGCCUGUGACGAAGCGUGAGUGACGGUAAUGGGUAAAGAAGCACCGGCUAACUACGUG
RNAcentral lists this ribosomal RNA (468 nucleotides) under uncultured bacterium. Its description in RNAcentral is "partial 16S ribosomal RNA". It matches the Rfam family "Bacterial small subunit ribosomal RNA", at positions 34 to 507 of the family's 1533-position model. The record is from RNAcentral.